RNAcentral lists this ribosomal RNA (496 nucleotides) under uncultured bacterium. RNAcentral's name for it is "partial 16S ribosomal RNA". It matches the Rfam family "Bacterial small subunit ribosomal RNA", at positions 29 to 507 of the family's 1533-position model. The record is from RNAcentral.
AUGAACGCUGGCGGCGUGCCUCAUACCUGCAAGUCGAGCGAACGGACGAGAAGCUUGCUUCUCUGAUGUUAGCGGCGGACGGGUGAGUAACACGUGGAUAACCUACCUAUAAGACUGGGAUAACUUCGGGAAACCGGAGCUAAUACCGGAUGAUAUUUUGAACCGCAUGGUUCAAAAGUGAAAGACGGUCUUGCUGUCACUUAUAGAUGGAUCCGCGCUGCAUUAGCUAGUUGGUAAGGUAACGGCUUACCAAGGCAACGAUGCAUAGCCGACCUGAGAGAGUGAUCGGCCACACUGGAACUGAGACACGGUCCAGACUCCUACGGGAGGCAGCAGUAGGGAAUCUUCCGCAAUGGGCGAAAGCCUGACGGAGCAACGCCGCGUGAGUGAUGAAGGUCUUCGGAUCGUAAAACUCUGUUAUUAGGGAAGAACAUAUGUGUAAGUAACUGUGCACAUCUUGACGGUACCUAAUCAGAAAGCCACGGCUAACUACGUG